Molecule: ribosomal RNA, 526 nt
Filed under: uncultured bacterium
Lineage: Bacteria
Description: bacterial SSU rRNA
Rfam family: Bacterial small subunit ribosomal RNA
Source: RNAcentral
GAGUUUGAUCCUGGCUCAGAUUGAACGCUGGCGGCAUGCCUUACACAUGCAAGUCGAGCGGGGUUUUCGGACCUAGCGGCGGACGGGUGAGUAAUGCGUAGGAAGCUGCCCGAUAGAGGGGGAUACCAGUUGGAAACGACUGUUAAUACCGCAUAAUGUCUACGGACCAAAGUGUGGGACCUUCGGGCCACAUGCUAUCGGAUGCGCCUACGUGGGAUUAGCUAGUUGGUGAGGUAAUGGCUCACCAAGGCGACGAUCUCUAGCUGGUUUGAGAGGAUGAUCAGCCACACUGGAACUGAGACACGGUCCAGACUCCUACGGGAGGCAGCAGUGGGGAAUAUUGGACAAUGGGCGCAAGCCUGAUCCAGCCAUGCCGCGUGUGUGAAGAAGGCCUUCGGGUUGUAAAGCACUUUCAGCGAGGAGGAAGGGAUGUAUGUUAAUAGCAUGCAUUUUUGACGUUACUCGCAGAAGAAGCACCGGCUAACUCUGUGCCAGCAGCCGCGGUAAUACAGAGGGUGCAAGCGUU